Molecule: ribosomal RNA, 376 nt
Filed under: uncultured bacterium
Lineage: Bacteria
Description: bacterial SSU rRNA
Rfam family: Bacterial small subunit ribosomal RNA
Source: RNAcentral
UACGUAGGGGGCGAGCGUUGUCCGGAAUUACUGGGCGUAAAGGGUGCGUAGGCGGCCUUUUAAGUUGGAUGUGAAAUCCCCGAGCUUAACUUGGGUGGUGCAUCCAAAACUGGGAGGCUAGAGUGCAGGAGAGGGAAGCGGAAUUCCUAGUGUAGCGGUGAAAUGCGUAGAUAUUAGGAGGAACACCAGUGGCGAAGGCGGCUUUCUGGACUGUAACUGACGCUGAGGCACGAAAGCGUGGGGAGCAAACAGGAUUAGAUACCCUGGUAGUCCACGCUGUAAACGAUGAAUACUAGGUGUAGGGGGUAUCAACUCCCCCUGUGCCGGAGCAAACGCAAUAAGUAUUCCGCCUGGGGAGUACGGCCGCAAGGUUGAA